Molecule: microRNA precursor, 207 nt
Organism: Oryza sativa Japonica Group (Japanese rice)
Lineage: Eukaryota; Viridiplantae; Streptophyta; Magnoliopsida; Poales; Poaceae
Rfam family: MIR812 microRNA precursor family
Source: Rfam
AAAAAGACAAACUCUGAGUUUCCGUGUCCAACUUUGAUUGUCCGUCUUAUAUGAAAUUUUUUUAUAAUUUAUAUUUUCAUUAUUGUUAGAUGAUAAAACAUGAUUAAUAUUUUAUGUGUGACUUGUCUUUUUAAUUUUUUUUCAUAAUUUUUUUAAAUAAGACGGAUGGUUAGACGUUGGACACGAAAACCAAUAUUUGUCUUUUUU